RNAcentral lists this ribosomal RNA (495 nucleotides) under uncultured bacterium. Its description in RNAcentral is "partial 16S ribosomal RNA". It matches the Rfam family "Bacterial small subunit ribosomal RNA", at positions 39 to 507 of the family's 1533-position model. The record is from RNAcentral.
GGGGGGGGGGGGGGGGGGGGGGGGGGCGGGGGGGGGGGGGGGGGGGGGGGGGGCGGGGGUCUCGGGGGGAGGUGCGGCCGGGUGGGUGACGCGUAGGUACCCUGCCUGGUAGCGGGGGAGAACGAGUGGACACGAUAGCUACUACCGCAUAAGAGUAGCUGUUGCAUGCCAUUUGCUUAAAAGGUGCAAUUGCCUCACUACCAGAUGGACCUGCGUUGUCUUAGCUAGUUGGUGAGGUCACGGCGCACCACGGCCACGCUACGUAGCCGCCCGGCGAGGGUGGUCGGCCACACUGGGACUGAGAGACGGCCCAGACUCCGACGGGAGGCAGCAGGAGGGAAUCUUGGGCAAUGGACGGAAGUCUGACCGAGCAACGCCGCGUGAGUGAAGAAGGGUGUCGGAUCGGAAAGCUCUGUUGUAAGAGAAGAACGAGUGUGAGAGUGGAAAGUUCACACUGUGACGGUAUCUGACCAGAAAGGGACGGCUAACUACGUG